RNAcentral lists this ribosomal RNA (460 nucleotides) under uncultured bacterium. RNAcentral's name for it is "partial 16S ribosomal RNA". It matches the Rfam family "Bacterial small subunit ribosomal RNA", at positions 338 to 795 of the family's 1533-position model. The record is from RNAcentral.
CCUACGGGUGGCAGCAGUGAGGAAUAUUGGUCAAUGGGCGCGAGCCUGAACCAGCCAAGUAGCGUGAAGGAUGACUGCCCUACGGGUUGUAAACUUCUUUUAUAAAGGAAUUAAGUGAGGCACGUGUGCCUUUUUGUAUGUCCUUUAUGAAUAAGGAUCGGCUAAGUACGGGCCAGCAGCCGCGGUAAUACGGAGGAUCCGAGCGUUAUCCGGAUUUAUUGGUGUUAAAGGGAGCGUAGAUGGGUUGUUAAGUCAGUUGUGAAAGUUUGCGGCUCAACCGUAGAAUUGCAAUUGAUACUGGCAGCCUUGAGUACAGUUGAGGUAGGCGGAAUUCGUGGUGUAGCGGUGAAAUGCGUAGAUAUCACGAAGAACUCCGAUUGCGAAGGCAGCUUACUAAACUGCCACUGACAUUGAUGCUCGAAAGUGUGGGUAUCAAACAGGAUUAGAUACCCGGGUAGUC